RNAcentral lists this ribosomal RNA (494 nucleotides) under uncultured bacterium. Its description in RNAcentral is "partial 16S ribosomal RNA". It matches the Rfam family "Bacterial small subunit ribosomal RNA", at positions 29 to 507 of the family's 1533-position model. The record is from RNAcentral.
ACGAACGCUGGCGGCGUGCCUAAUACAUGCAAGUAGAACGCUGAAGGAGGAGCUUGCUCUUCUGGAUGAGUUGCGAACGGGUGAGUAACGCGUAGGUAACCUGCCUGGUAGCGGGGGAUAACUAUUGGAAACGAUAGCUAAUACCGCAUAACAGUAGAUGUUGCAUGACAUUUACUUAAAAGGUGCAAUUGCAUCACUACCAGAUGGACCUGCGUUGUAUUAGCUAGUUGGUGGGGUAACGGCUCACCAAGGCGACGAUACAUAGCCGACCUGAGAGGGUGAUCGGCCACACUGGGACUGAGACACGGCCCAGACUCCUACGGGAGGCAGCAGUAGGGAAUCUUCGGCAAUGGACGGAAGUCUGACCGAGCAACGCCGCGUGAGUGAAGAAGGUUUUCGGAUCGUAAAGCUCUGUUGUAAGAGAAGAACGAGUGUGAGAGUGGAAAGUUCACACUGUGACGGUAUCUUACCAGAAAGAGACGGCUAACUACGUG